CUCGUGUUGUAUUUUCGUGGCAGUGUAGAGGUUGGUUCGUUUGACCCUUGAACAUCCACAGUAUCCAAUUGAGUAUUCAUUUCCGUCAUAUGACCAGGACUGGAUUGUUUUUAAACUUGGUAACAAGUCCAAGGUGGCAACAUCAGAUAUAUUGCUGGCUGUUGAUUGCGAGAUGGUUCUCUGUGAGGAUGAAACGGAAGUCUUGGUUAUAUGUGUAGAAGAUCAGGACUUAGAGGUGCCACCUACUUUAUUGAUUAUACUAUUACAGGACACAAAUAACUGGUGUUUAUGCUCAAGAUUUGGAUGGAAUCACUUGUUCCCUUGCAGAUAUACAGGUUAGAAAUAUCUUCCAAAUAAUUUGUGUAAGGUAUGUUAUUAUCUGAUCUCUAAAAUCUCCUUUGUUUCUAUAAUUGUUCAAUUGUGUCUAAAUUAGAAUAUUUCUCUGUUUAAAACUUGGGUCUUGGCAGUUUGUGCUGGGUUAUGAAGUUCGCAAGAAAGAUGCUCCGCAUAAUUUCUGAACCUCAUUUGUGUUUUUUCCCUAUUGAUUGACAUGGUUGUGUGCUAUUUGCCACGAAGUACGGGGUAUGAACCUAGUUAAGAGUGAUAUGUUUUUGUUCAACUUUCUGGGAUUCUUACCGCUAAAACAUGCUGUAUUUGGUGCACGAGGUGGAGCCACCCCCGACUGUUGACCUUUUGUAUAACUCGAACGAAUGUGAAUAAACAUGAUGAUGGAUGCUGUUUGUACAAUUUUUUCUUCUCUGGCAUCUGUUGUCUCUUCUAAUGGGAAUAUCAAAAGUGUGAAGAACUAAAAUGGAAAAUCUAUAUAUUUUCUUGUAUUUAUUCGCCAUCUUUGAUUCUUUGGUGGGCAGGUGGGUUAAUUUUUUCUGAAAGAUAAAUAUCAACCGAAUAAUCCUUCAACAGCAGCACCUCGUGCACCAGUCAUACUAUAUGGUUACAGUUAAAGUUACAGACUCUUUGCAUCUAUUUCAUUUCUCGAGUUUGAUGAUGACUGCUUUCUAGUAAACUUGAAUCCCAACAAACCCCUCAGCAUUAGAACAUGCAACACUCAUUUCAGAACUUCUGAGUAUGUUGUUGGAGAAACUUGUUGUAAGACCAUCAGAUGGUUGCGGCAAUGUCUACAUCUGGACAACUUUAACGAAUAUGUCAGGGCAAUCUGAAUUUGUAAAACCGAUAUCUGUUACAUUCUUAUUUUGAUGUAAAUUUGCGCAGACUAUCAAAUUAUGCAUUAUGUGCUAAAAGUUGUUCUUUUAUUAGUAAAUUUGCAGCACUAGAUGAGUGUUUGGCAGUUAUCCCUUUUAUUUUUACUUAUGUUGUUCCUGCCUGCUAAUUUUUGCUAAUUUUUUCUACCUGAUGGUCUCGUGUUCAUCUUGGUUUCCCGAUGGCAAUGACAUUCCCAUCUUUUUAUGCUUCAGUGGAAUGUAAAGAUAUAUAUCGUGAGUGUAAACUUUGGUACUCAUAUAUAUUUUCCUUCCAUCUUGCAGGGAUCGAGUCGAUUGGAAGAAAGUCAACACGGCCUUAAUUAAGGUUUGUAAUGAAUGUCUAAAGGGAUGUAAGUGGCCGGAUUAGAGAAAUUUGUUAGACUAGCUCUCUAGCCUUUUAUCUUUAUUUGUUAAUAUUAGUUGUAAUUUGUUAGACUAGCUAGGUGUUUAAAAAUUAUAAACGUACGUACUAUACGCUUUGCUAUGUUGGGUUAAUAUAAA
Molecule: long non-coding RNA, 1721 nt
Organism: Spinacia oleracea (spinach)
Lineage: Eukaryota; Viridiplantae; Streptophyta; Magnoliopsida; Caryophyllales; Amaranthaceae
Exons: 3
Source: RefSeq, a predicted model, not a curated record